AUUGAACGCUGGCGGCAUGCCUUACACAUGCAAGUCGAACGGUAACGGGCCUUUGGGUGCCGACGAGUGGCGAACGGGUGAGUAAUGCAUCGGAACGUACCUUUCAGUGGGGGAUAACGUAGCGAAAGUUACGCUAAUACCGCAUAUUCUGUGAGCAGGAAAGCAGGGGAUCGCAAGACCUUGCGCUGAUUGAGCGGCCGAUGUCAGAUUAGCUUGUUGGUGAGGUAAAGGCUCACCAAGGCGACGAUCUGUAGCGGGUCUGAGAGGAUGAUCCGCCACACUGGGAAUGCGACACGGCCAAGACUCCUACGGGAGGCAGCAGUGGGGAAUUUUGGACAAUGGGGGCAACCCUGAUCCAGCCAUGCCGCGUGAGUGAAGAAGGCCUUCGGGUUGUAAAGCUCUUUCGGCCGGGAAGAAAUCGCACAGGCUAAUACCUUGUGUGGAUGACGGUACCGGAAUAAGAAGCACCGGCUAACUACGUGCCAGCAGCCGCGGUAA
RNAcentral lists this ribosomal RNA (498 nucleotides) under uncultured bacterium. Its description in RNAcentral is "partial 16S ribosomal RNA". It matches the Rfam family "Bacterial small subunit ribosomal RNA", at positions 30 to 523 of the family's 1533-position model. The record is from RNAcentral.